ACCAACUUCUUCACAUCUUCGUGGUCUUCCUCUCAACGUCGGGGAAUCAAAGUAUCUGGUUCUGAUAUUAGAGUGGGAAAUAUCAUUGGAAAACAAGGGCGCAUUUACGAGGUUCUUAAAGUCGAUCACUCUCAUGAAGGAAGAGGAAAAGCCACAAUCAAGGAACUGAAAUGACUAUUCGAGGAAGAGGUAGAGGUCAAGGUAGUCACACUCUAAGUCAACUUAGGCCUAUUCAAUGUCAUGUUGGUCCUUCAGAACUAGAUCCUAUUUUGCAAUCACCAGGUGCUACUUCAAUUGAUGGUAAUCAAUCACCACCUACCACCUCAGUGUUUGAUGAUG
Vigna unguiculata (cowpea) is the source of this 339-nucleotide long non-coding RNA. Lineage: Eukaryota; Viridiplantae; Streptophyta; Magnoliopsida; Fabales; Fabaceae. The record is from RefSeq and is a predicted model, not a curated record.